GUGCUUAUGUCAGCAGUGCAUAUCCUAAAACUGGAACAAUGCAGAUCCCUUGGCAAGGAUGACUCGCAAAUCUGUGAUGCGUUCCACAUUUUU
Molecule: small nuclear RNA, 93 nt
Filed under: Ovis aries (sheep)
Lineage: Eukaryota; Metazoa; Chordata; Mammalia; Artiodactyla; Bovidae
Source: RNAcentral